GCAUGAUAAUGACCAGGUCCAGGUGCCUUCCUAACCAUGCUUUUCCACUCUUUCAGAUGGAAGUCCUUAUACUUGGUGGGUUGGCAAGGCCAACGAGAAGCACUACUACUGGGGGGGCUCCGAGCCGGGAAUUCAGAAGUGUGCCUGUGGCAUUGAGCGCAACUGCACAGACACCAAAUACUACUGCAACUGUGACGCAGACUACAAGCAGUGGAGGAAGGAUGCUGGCUUCUUAUCCUACAAAGACCACCUGCCAGUGAGCCAGGUGGUAAUUGGAGAUACUGACCGGCAAGGCUCAGAAGCCAAACUGAGUGUGGGGCCCCUGCGCUGCCAAGGAGACAGUAAGUUUGCCCAUUCACUGUGCUUUACAGUUUAUCACAUUUAAAUAGCAUUUCUGUGAUUCUCAGAGGUUGCCAGAAAACAGCCUUGCUCUUCUGUAACCCCUACAGAAACAUGAGGUAACUAACACAAGCAAGUAGAGUCUAAUGAACUCUAAAUAGACCUUUGUUCAUAAGAGUGGGUGACAGGCAUAAACUCUCCAGUACAGGAACC
This 552-nucleotide long non-coding RNA is filed under the name Fukomys damarensis (Damara mole-rat). RNAcentral describes it as "lncRNA (ENSFDAG00000028943.1)". Lineage: Eukaryota; Metazoa; Chordata; Mammalia; Rodentia; Bathyergidae. The record is from RNAcentral.